This 254-nucleotide ribosomal RNA is filed under the name uncultured bacterium. RNAcentral's name for it is "partial 16S ribosomal RNA". It matches the Rfam family "Bacterial small subunit ribosomal RNA", at positions 524 to 776 of the family's 1533-position model. The record is from RNAcentral.
UACGUAGGAUGCAAGCGUUGUCCGGAAUUAUUGGGCGUAAAGAGCGCGCAGGCGGUAUGACAAGUCAGAUGUGAAAGAGGCCGGCUUAACCGGCAAGGGUCAUUUGAAACUGUCAGACUAGAGUGCAGCAGAGGAUAGUGGAAUUCCCGGUGUAGUGGUGAAAUGCGUAGAUAUCAGGAGGAACACCGGUGGCGAAGGCGGGUCUCUGGGCAGUAACUGACGCUGAGGAGCGAAAGCGUGGGGGAGCGAACAGG